AUUGAACGCUGGCGGCAGGCUUAACACACGCAAGUCGAGCGGGGUGAUGGUGCUUGCACUAUCACUUAGCGGCGGACGGGUGAGUAAUGCUUAGGAAUCUGCCUAUUAGUGGGGGACAACAUCUCGAAAGGGAUGCUAAUACCGCAUACGUCCUACGGGAGAAAGCAGGGGAUCACUUGUGACCUUGCGCUAAUAGAUGAGCCUAGGUCGGAUUAGCUAGUUGGUGGGGUAAAGGCCUACCAAGGCGACGAUCUGUAGCGGGUCUGAGAGGAUGAUCCGCCACACUGGGACUGAGACACGGCCCAGACUCCUACGGGAGGCAGCAGUGGGGAAUAUUGGACAAUGGGGGGAACCCUGAUCCAGCCAUGCCGCGUGUGUGAAGAAGGCCUUAUGGUUGUAAAGCACUUUAAGCGAGGAGGAGGCUCUUUUGGUUAAUACCCAAGAUGAGUGGACGUUACUCGCAGAAUAAGCACCGGCUAACUCUGUGCCAGCAGCCGCGGUAA
RNAcentral lists this ribosomal RNA (503 nucleotides) under uncultured bacterium. Its description in RNAcentral is "partial 16S ribosomal RNA". It matches the Rfam family "Bacterial small subunit ribosomal RNA", at positions 30 to 523 of the family's 1533-position model. The record is from RNAcentral.